UCCUACGGGAGGCAGCAGUAGGGAAUUUUCGGCAAUGGGGGAAACCCUGACCGAGCGACGCCGCGUGAGGGAUGAAGGCCUUCGGGUUGUAAACCUCUGUCUUCGGGGACGAUAAUGACGGUACCCGAGGAGGAAGCCACGGCUAACUACGUGCCAGCAGCCGCGGUAAGACGUAGGUGGCGAGCGUUGUCCGGAAUUACUGGGCGUAAAGGGCGUGUAGGUGGCCUGCUAAGUCAGACGUGAAACCCCAAGGCUUAACCUUGGGACUGCGUUUGAUACUGGUGGGCUUGAGGACAGGAGAGGAAAGUGGAACUCCGUGUGUAGCGGUGAAAUGCGUAGAUAUACGGAAGAACACCAGUGGCGAAGGCGGCUUUCUGGACUGUCCCUGACACUGAGGCGCGAAAGCCAGGGGAGCGAACGGGAUUAGAUACCCCGGUAGG
Molecule: ribosomal RNA, 440 nt
Filed under: uncultured bacterium
Lineage: Bacteria
Description: bacterial SSU rRNA
Rfam family: Bacterial small subunit ribosomal RNA
Source: RNAcentral